Labrus bergylta (ballan wrasse) is the source of this 197-nucleotide small nucleolar RNA. Its record names the gene U3. It matches the Rfam family "Small nucleolar RNA U3". From Rfam's summary of the family: Small nucleolar RNAs (snoRNAs) are involved in the processing and modification of rRNA in the nucleolus. There are two main classes of snoRNAs: the box C/D class, and the box H/ACA class. The record is from Ensembl. Lineage: Eukaryota; Metazoa; Chordata; Actinopteri; Labriformes; Labridae.
CAGACUAUACUUUCAGGGAUCAUUUCUUUAGUUGUUGACUGGAGAAAUGUGUUUCUAAAGAGUUUGGUCUCGCUGUCCACGAUGAAGAGUUCAGAUGUUUCCUUCAGUGCAGGAAACUGGUGGGAAGAUUUUGUUUCUUCUCCACUGUUGAAGAUUGAUCAGAGACUCUCUGAUGGAGGAAACAUGUUCUGAGUGGA